Molecule: ribosomal RNA, 458 nt
Filed under: uncultured bacterium
Lineage: Bacteria
Description: bacterial SSU rRNA
Rfam family: Bacterial small subunit ribosomal RNA
Source: RNAcentral
GGGAGGCAGCAGUAGGGAAUUUUGGACAAUGGGGGCAACCCUGAUCCAGCGACGCCGCGUGAAGGAUGAAGGUCUUCGGAUUGUAAACUUCUUUUGUUUGGGACUAAGAAACUCGUGGAAACACGGGGAGUGAAUGUACCAAGCGAAUAAGCCACGGCUAACUUCGUGCCAGCAGCCGCGGUAAUACGAAGGUGGCAAGCGUUACUCGGAAUUACUAGGCGUAAAGGGCAGGUAGGUGGUCUGAUAAGUCUGUUGUGAAAGCUCCCGGCUCAACUGGGAGAGGCCAACGGAUACUAUCAGGCUUGAGUAUAGGAGAGGUUACUGGAAUUCCCGGUGUAGCGGUGAAAUGCGCAGAGAUCGGGAGGAACACCAAUGGCGAAAGCAGGUAACUGGACUAUUACUGAUACUCAGCUGCGAAAGCUAGGGGAGCAAACAGGAUUAGAUACCCGUGUAGUCCG